Long non-coding RNA from Neofelis nebulosa (Clouded leopard), 2661 nucleotides. RefSeq lists it as uncharacterized. The record is from RefSeq and is a predicted model, not a curated record. Lineage: Eukaryota; Metazoa; Chordata; Mammalia; Carnivora; Felidae. The transcript has 2 exons.
UACCUUGAAAAAAAUCACAGUAUAGGGAAGGAGACUAAAUUCAAACAGAAUUGUAAAUAGGACUGUUUACAAGCCCAUAGGAAUAUAAAAAGGGUCUUUCAUGGAGUUUUGCUUCCCUCUCUGGAGGCCCACAUGAAGAGGUUGAUUUCUUCCCAUAUAAAAACAAUCCUAAGCAUGUGCUCACACACAUACCACACACACACACAUGCACACACACGCACACACGAGAACCCAUUCCCCACCUUUUCUCUACAGAGGCCACAACAUUCUUGAAUUUUGUGUUUACCAUUUACAUGCAUGCUUUUAUUGCAUAUUUACUACAUAUAAUUUUUUGCAUAUUUUAAACUUUGUGUAUUUUGGACAUACCAGACAUAUCUGCUGGCAGUUUGCUUUUUUCAUUUGUCAUUAAGUUUUGAGAUUUAUUUUAGGUGCUACUACAUCUAUUUUUUUGUUGGUGGACUUUUAGAUUGAUCCAAUUUCCUUUUUUUCCCCAAAUUUUUAUUUGAAUUCUAGUUAGUUAAGGGGUGCCUGGGUGGCUCAGUCAACUGAGCAUCCGCCUUCAGCUCAGGUCAUGAUUUCACAGUUUGUGAGAACUGAGCCCCGCAUUGGGCUCGCUGCUAUUGGUGUGGAGCCUGCUUCAGAUCCUCUGUCCCCCUCUCUCUUUCCCCCUCCCCCCACUCUCUCUCUCUCAAAAAUAGACAUUAAAAACUAAAUUAUAGUUAGUUAACAUUCAACUUUCAACUAUUAUAACUAAUCCUGCAAUUAACACUCAAGUAUGUCGAUGUAUAAGAGUUUCUCUAGGAUAGCAAUCCCUAUCAAAAUAACACCAGCAUUCUUCACAGAGCUAGGACAAACAAUCCUAAAAUUUGUAUGGAACCAGAAAAGACCCUGAAUAGCCAAAGAAAUCUUGAAAAAGAAAACUGAAGCCGGAGGCAUCACACUCCCGGACUUCAAGACGUAAUACAAAGCUGUAAUCAUCAAGACAGUAUGGUACUGGCACAAAAACAGAGACUCAGAUCAAUGGAACAGAAUAGAGAACCCAGAAAUGGUCCCACAAACGUAUGGCCAACUAAUCUUUGACAAAGCAGGAAAGAAUGUCCAAUGGAAUAAAGACAGUCUCUUCAGCAAGUGGUGCUGGGAAAACUGGAGAGCAACAUUCAGAAGAAUGAACCUGGACCACUUUCUUACAUCAUACACAAAAAUAAACUCAAAAUGGAUGUAAGACCUAAACGUACGACAGGAAGCCAUCAAAAUCCUCCAGGAGAAAGCAAACAAAACCACUUUGACCACUUUGACCACAGCAACUUCUUACUCAACACAUCUCCGGAGGAAAGGGAAACAAAAGCAAAAAUGAACUACUGGGACCUCAUCAAAAUAAAAAGCUUCUGCACAGCGAAGAAAACAAUCAGCAAAACUAAAAGACAACCAACAGAAUGGGAGAAGAUAUUUACAAAUGACAUAUCAGAUAAAGGGUUAGUAUCCAAAAUCUAUACAGAACUUAUCAAACUCAAUACCCAAAAACAAAUAAUCCAGUGAGGAAAUGGGCAAAAGACAUGAAUAAACACUUCUCCAAAGAAGACAGCCAGAUGGUGAACACAUGAAAAAAUGCUCAACAUCACUCAUCAUCAGGGAAAUACAAAUCAAAACCACAUGGAGAUACCACCUCACACCAGUGGGAAUGGCUAACAUUAACAACUCAGGCAACAACCUGUGUUGGCGAGGAUGUGGAGAAAGAGGAUCUUUUUUGCACUGUUGGUGGGAAUGCAAACUGGUGCAGUCACUCUGGAAAACAGUAUGGAGUUCCUCAAAAAACUCAAAAUAGAACUACCCUAUGACCCAGCAAAUGCGCUACUAGGUAUUUAUCCAAGGGAUACAGGUGUGCUGUUUCGAAGGGACACAUGCACCCCCAUGUUUAUAGCAGCACUAUCGACAAUAGCCAAAGUAUGGAAAGAGCCCAAAUGUCCGUCAACAGAUGAAUGGAUAAAGCGGUGGUGUAUAUAUACAAUGGAGUGUUACUCAACAAUCAAAAAGAAUGAAAUCUUGCCAUUUCCAACUACAUGGAUGGAACUGGAGGGUAUUAUGCUAAGUGAAAUUAGAGAAAGACAAAUAUCAUAUGACUUUACUCAUAUGAGGAAUUUAAGAUACUAAACAUAUGAGCAUAAGGGAAGGGAAGCAAAAAAGUAUAAAAACAAGGAGGGAGACAAAACAUAAGAGACUCAUAAAUAUAGAGAACAAACAGAGGGUUGCUGGAGGGGUUGUGGGAGGGGGGAUGGGCUAAAUGGGUAAGGGACAUUAAGGAAUCUACUCCUGAAAUCAUUGUUGUACUAUAUGCUAACUAACUUGGAUGUAAACUAAAUAAUAAAUAAAUUAAAAAAGAGUUUCUCUAGGGUAUAUACCUAUGAAUGGAAUUACUGGAUUAUAGUAGUGUGAAUCUUCAACUUUGCUAGAUCCAAGUUAUUCUUUGAAGUGGUUAUAUUAAUUUAUGCUGCUGCAAUAAUAAGGUAUAAGAUUCCUGUUGCUCAUGGCCAACAUUUGGUAUUGUUAGACUUUAAUACUUAUGUUACAUUUCUCAAUUUUUAGAUGUGAAUGGUAUUUUUUUGGGGGUAGUUUUAAUUUGCAUUCAUCUGAUUAAUAUUAAAGUUGAAUAUUUUUUAUAAUGUU